This 451-nucleotide long non-coding RNA is filed under the name Ursus maritimus (polar bear). RNAcentral's name for it is "lncRNA (ENSUMAG00000009323.1)". The record is from RNAcentral. Lineage: Eukaryota; Metazoa; Chordata; Mammalia; Carnivora; Ursidae.
UAACAAAUCCCUUAGUCCCACAAGUCUUAUAGCAGCUGUGUUUCCUGACUAAUACAGUCGGAUGGAGGAGACACACGUGGGAGGUGAAUGACAUUCUGAAUUUGAAAAAAGCUUCAGAGUUAGCCAAAUGGAUAUUGUUCUAGAGAAUGAAAAGAAGAGCCUCCCAGGUUUAGAUGAGACAGAGCCAGGAGACAGGGAGGAAGCAGGGUCCAAAACACCAUCCUGUACUGGACGCACACAUUUGCUUGAAUCAUACCCAGGAAAGCAAGUGGGCAACGGAACUACUGAAUCCGUGUCCCAACCCGGGACUGGAGAGCAGCGGAGUCCAGCAGAGCUCCGAGCAGACCCCGCUCCACACACAUUGCUCCCUCGUAAAUUGACCUCAGAUUUAUCCCUAAACGAGGGACUGGAACGGCCUUCAUUGAGCACAUUGGACCUCUACUCAGUGUGA